CAGUCGCCACGGUAAUACGUAGGGUGCAAGCGUUAAUCGCAAUUACUGGGCGUAAAGUGUGCGCAGGCGGUUAUAUAAGACAGAUGUGAAAUCCCCGGGCUCAACCUGGGAACUGCAUUUGUGACUGUAUAGCUAGAGUACGGCAGAGGGGGAUGGAAUUCCGCGUGUAGCAGUGAAAUGCGUAGAUAUGCGGAGGAACACCGAUGGCGAAGGCAAUCCCCUGGGCCUGUACUGACGCUCAUGCACGAAAGCGUGGGGAGCAAACAGGAUUAGAUACCCCGGUAGUCCCUGUCUCUUAUAC
RNAcentral lists this ribosomal RNA (301 nucleotides) under uncultured bacterium. RNAcentral describes it as "partial 16S ribosomal RNA". It matches the Rfam family "Bacterial small subunit ribosomal RNA", at positions 509 to 807 of the family's 1533-position model. The record is from RNAcentral.